AUUCCGGUAGCAUAGUGGUUAGAGCGUUGGCCUUGGAUGCGUGAGGUCUCGGUUUCGAACCCAAGCCAAGAUG
Molecule: non-coding RNA, 73 nt
Organism: Potamilus streckersoni
Lineage: Eukaryota; Metazoa; Mollusca; Bivalvia; Unionida; Unionidae
Source: the annotation of a GenBank genome assembly